CCUACGAGCGGCAGCAGUGAGGAAUAUUGGUCAAUGGACGCAAGUCUGAACCAGCCAUGCCGCGUGCAGGAAGACGGCUCUAUGAGUUGUAAACUGCUUUUGUACGAGGGUAAACGCAGAUACGCGUAUCUGUCUGAAAGUAUCGUACGAAUAAGGAUUGGCUAACUCCGUGCCAGCAGCCGCGGUAAUACGGAGGAUUCAAGCGUUAUCCGGAUUUAUUGGGUUUAAAGGGUGCGUAGGCGGUCGGAUAAGUUAGAGGUGAAAUCCCGAGGCUCAACUUCGGAAUUGCCUCUGAUACUGUUCGGCUAGAGAGUAGGUGCGGUAGGCUGAAUGUAUGGUGGAGGCGUGGAAUGCUUAG
Molecule: ribosomal RNA, 358 nt
Filed under: uncultured bacterium
Lineage: Bacteria
Description: partial 16S ribosomal RNA
Rfam family: Bacterial small subunit ribosomal RNA
Source: RNAcentral